Molecule: ribosomal RNA, 1002 nt
Filed under: Drosophila melanogaster (fruit fly)
Lineage: Eukaryota; Metazoa; Arthropoda; Insecta; Diptera; Drosophilidae
Description: eukaryotic LSU rRNA
Rfam family: Eukaryotic large subunit ribosomal RNA
Source: RNAcentral
UAUAUAAACAAAGCGAAUUAUAAUACACUUGAAUAAUUUUGAACGAAAGGGAAUACGGUUCCAAUUCCGUAACCUGUUGAGUAUCCGUUUGUUAUUAAAUAUGGGCCUCGUGCUCAUCCUGGCAACAGGAACGACCAUAAAGAAGCCGUCGAGAGAUAUCGGAAGAGUUUUCUUUUCUGUUUUAUAGCCGUACUACCAUGGAAGUCUUUCGCAGAGAGAUAUGGUAGAUGGGCUAGAAGAGCAUGACAUAUACUGUUGUGUCGAUAUUUUCUCCUCGGACCUUGAAAAUUUAUGGUGGGGACACGCAAACUUCUCAACAGGCCGUACCAAUAUCCGCAGCUGGUCUCCAAGGUGAAGAGUCUCUAGUCGAUAGAAUAAUGUAGGUAAGGGAAGUCGGCAAAUUAGAUCCGUAACUUCGGGAUAAGGAUUGGCUCUGAAGAUUGAGAUAGUCGGGCUUGAUUGGGAAACAAUAACAUGGUUUAUGUGCUCGUUCUGGGUAAAUAGAGUUUCUAGCAUUUAUGUUAGUUACUUGUUCCCCGGAUAGUUUAGUUACGUAGCCAAUUGUGGAACUUUCUUGCUAAAAUUUUUAAGAAUACUAUUUGGGUUAAACCAAUUAGUUCUUAUUAAUUAUAACGAUUAUCAAUUAACAAUCAAUUCAGAACUGGCACGGACUUGGGGAAUCCGACUGUCUAAUUAAAACAAAGCAUUGUGAUGGCCCUAGCGGGUGUUGACACAAUGUGAUUUCUGCCCAGUGCUCUGAAUGUCAAAGUGAAGAAAUUCAAGUAAGCGCGGGUCAACGGCGGGAGUAACUAUGACUCUCUUAAGGUAGCCAAAUGCCUCGUCAUCUAAUUAGUGACGCGCAUGAAUGGAUUAACGAGAUUCCUACUGUCCCUAUCUACUAUCUAGCGAAACCACAGCCAAGGGAACGGGCUUGGAAUAAUUAGCGGGGAAAGAAGACCCUUUUGAGCUUGACUCUAAUCUGGCAGUGUAAGGAGACAUAAG